UUAACUGUGGAGAUGGCCGUACAACUCCACAUGUAUGCUGAAAACCAUUGAGUUUUACACUUUAAGUGGGCGAAGUAUACCGUAUGUGAAUUCUAUCACAACAGAGCUGUUGUUUAAAAAAAACAACAACAACCAAUGCAAAGCUGUGCAAGGGACGUGGGAUUGGCUGUGGGAGGGAAGUUUGCUGACUAACGGAAGGUGGGAGGGACCUCAAAAGUCCUGUUACUCACUGACCUUAUUUACCAGCGGAACGCUGGGCCCGUCUUGCCCACGGGACAGGGUGAGUCAGGGGCUUGAACCCAUGUCUCCAGACCCCCCGGCCCUGCGUCCUCCCACCCCAUUACCUCCAUCCACCCUGCCCACAGCUGCCCCUUCCCCCCCCACCCCCCCGGCCCCUCCAUCCGGCAACCUUGCCUCCCUUUUGGCCGGCAGCCUGCUGAGAGGUCAGAUGACAAGAGCGACCCUCCCUUUCCCCGCGGAGAGCUCGACAGGGUGCACAGUAUGUGCACAGCCUCUGCUCCUUUAAGGCAGCGCGGCCCAGCGGGGCGCCCUGUCUGCUGUCCCGGGUGCAUUUCCGGCUCCCUCUCUCACCGGCUCUGAGCCCUUGGGGAAGCCACUCACUGCUUCUGCCAAACCUCCAUCGCCUCACCUAUGAACAGGGAAUAAACGACAGACUCUACCUCCCAGGACCGCAACGAGGAUUCACUGAGAACGUCCACGGACAGCACUUACUUCGAAUUCUUACCUGUGCACGAGGCACACGGGGGCAGUGUCGCCCCCCGUUACAGAGGGGGACGCAGAGCUGGUGGGGGUAGAGUCAGGGGGGAGAACUGCUUGGGGUCACGUGCCCAGGCUGCGAGGGGUACAUGGGGACACCGAGGCCCACUUCCUGCCCUGAAGCGCAUGGCCUGAGCCAAAGAGGGGAGAAGAUUGGGCCCCUGGCCAUCAGGCUGGGCUGAGAGGGAAUGUACAGGCCCAAACCCGGCUGUGGGACUCAGUGAAAAGUACUUGGGCUGCUUUGGGACAAGGAUCCCGGGACUGGGCGAGUGCUGGGGCCCCAGGAGGGCUCGGAACACCAGAGAAGAGGAAGAUGGAUCCCAAUUAUGGGAAUCUGAGCAAGCUGUGUUGGAGACCGAAGGGGAGUGGCCUGUGUGGGGUCAAAGAAGCUGGAUGCGCGGCCACUGGGUACAAAGGACAACUAAAGCCAGAGAAAGUCCGAGUAAGGGUGGAACCACAGCCAGAACUGGGCUCCCCUCCCUCCUGCCACCUUGGGCUGGUGAUGUCUUUCUGACCCUCAGCAAAACCUUCUAAUGUCAUGAAGACUGGUGGUCAUGGGGUGGUCAAGGGGAGUCUGGACAUUCCCCCCUUUCCUGUGCUCUUUGUACUGGUCCCAGAGGCCCGGGGCCCCUGUCCAGAGGAGGCCGCUAGGAGGCAAUAAUCAAGACAGUGACGACAACAUUAGGAUCUCUGGCAGGAGAUCUAGACCCUUCCUCCUGUGCCGCAGUCACGCUCAGGGGUCUCUGCCUGCUUUGUCUUCAUCUACAGCUGCCCUUCUUCAGUGAGUCCCCACCAGAGACCAGGCACGAUGCCAAGUUCAUCUCUUCAUUUCAGAGUGGAGAGACAGGCGCAGAGAAGUUCAGUCAGUUGCCCAAGGACUGGAGUUCCAGAAGCAAACAGUGGCAAUCAGACGACUGCUGCCUGAGACUCCAGACGGCAGGCCCGGAGGGUUUGUAAGCUCCUCGAAGACACCAGGUCCCCGGCCACCUGCCUAGGAUUCCUGCCCCCAGAGCUGCGGCCUCUGAGCCCCUGGGGCCCCUGCGGCUUCCCCUGGCACUGGGCCCAGGGCUCUGGAGACUGGGGACCAGCCCGGGGCCCUCUGGGGCUGGCCAAGGUGCUGGUGGGUGGGGUGGUUGUGACUGAGGCAGGGUGGCUCAGGGAUGCCCUGGGGAGGGAGAAGGGUCAGCCCAAGGCCGUGCAGCUCCCGAAGAGGCAGCCACCUCCCAGCCUCUGACUCUGAUCAACCCAUCUCCACUAACCUGGGUGGACAGGGGCUCCCGUCAGGACCCGAAGAGGCUGAGGUGACCAGGCCCAGACAAUCUCUGUUUCUCCCACGUCUCAAGGCUGCCUUGGAACCCGAGAAGCUUCCACCUGUUCCACACCAGCCAAGGGCAUCUGAGAAACGGAUGCAUCAUCUUUCCUGGACCGUGCUGGAAGGCUGGAUUCCUAGAAGACAGGAAUUUAUGGUGUGAGAGCUCCAGCCCCCGCAAACCCACAGCCAAGGUCAACAGCACGAGGGGGGCAGCCCUGCCAAGCGAGGAGGGGAGCAGUGACUUUGGGAGCUGGUUGCACAGAAAACCAAAGUACAUGCAUUAAAAAAAAAAAAAAAAAAAUCCCUUCUCUCCCUCACGUUCCCAAACUGGGGGCUUAAAAAAAGUCCCCCAGACUGGCCCAGACAAGGCCCCUUGUCUGGGAAGACUGAACCCGUUUGGAGACAAGUCAUGUGAAGCUGCUGGGGCGGGGGCCCAUGGAAGGCCUCGGGGUGGGUGGUGAGCAGGCUACGCAUGUGUCCCCGUCCUUCGAGCCAACCGAGGGCAGCUGAGAUGGAAAUAGGAGCCCUGGGCCCUUCAGAAAGCCCCCAACAUGACAGCCUCAUUUGCCCCCUCUCCCCUCUCCCUUCCGGAGUCAGGGGUCUUGACUACCCACACACACUGAAUGCCCAGCACCCUGGGGACCAGAGCUCCCUGUCACAAGCCCUGAGUCUCUGGCAGGAGAGAAUAAGUUUGCCCCAGCCUCCUAGGGAGCUGAGGAAGGGCCUGGAGACCACCUCGAUUCAGACUCCAACGACUGGGCGCGGGGAAGAUAGCCCCCACCCUGGUCCAGAGCCCAGGCAGGUGCAGCUAAACACCCACCGGUUAUCUGUGCACCUGACGUUUCUGAACCCCAUGGGGUUGCACCACCUGGGAAAAUACAACAAGGCAGCCUCCUGCCCUGGAGAAUCCCCGGCAAGUGGCGGGGGGGAGCACUGACACGGAAACGGAUGGCGACCAACACGUGAGGGGCUGUGGGUCCCCCCAGGGGGGGAGUGAGCACCCUGGGGUGCAGAGAAAGACAUUGGGCAGAGAAAGCUUCCUGAAGGAGGUGCCCCCAGGGGUGGCCGGAGUUCACCAGGCGGACAUCCAGUGGGAGGGGGGCUUGGAGGGAACAUUCCAGCUAAGCCCACAGCAUGUGCAAAGGCCCAGAAUGUUUAUACCUUGGUAAGACUUUUCAUAUAAAUAAAUGCUCAAAUCCAAAAAAACAAAAAGGCCUCUGGCAAACCUCAUGUCUGGGUUUCUUGCUCAGAAAAUGAAGCCCUGCUCUGCCCUGGAGACCAGGGGCCAGCAGAAGGGGGGUGUCUGACACGGCCCUCAGGUUCCCACCCCUUCCACCCCCACAGCACCACCCCAUAGACCCCCCUACAGGGUCCACCUCUCAG
Molecule: long non-coding RNA, 3472 nt
Organism: Leopardus geoffroyi (Geoffroy's cat)
Lineage: Eukaryota; Metazoa; Chordata; Mammalia; Carnivora; Felidae
Exons: 4
Source: RefSeq, a predicted model, not a curated record